AUUGCCUCAGUAACGGCGAGUGAAGCGGCAAAAGCUCAAAUUUGAAAUCUGGCCCUUCCGGGGUCCGAGUUGUAAUUUGUAGAGGAUGCUUCGGGUGCGGCCCCCGUCUAAGUGCUCUGGAACGGGCCAUCGGAGAGGGUGAGAAUCCCGUCUGGGACGGGGUGUCCGUGUCCGUGUGAAGCUCCUUCGACGAGUCGAGUUGUUUGGGAAUGCAGCUCUAAAUGGGUGGUAAAUUUCAUCUAAAGCUAAAUAUUGGCCGGAGACCGAUAGCGCACAAGUAGAGUGAUCGAAAGAUGAAAAGCACUUUGAAAAGAGAGUUAAACAGCACGUGAAAUUGUUGAAAGGGAAGCACUUGCGACCAGACUCGCCCACGGGGUUCAGCCGGCUUUCGGGCCGGUGUACUUCCCCCGGGGGCGGGCCAGCGUCGGUUUGGGCGGCCGGUUAAAGGCCCCCGGAAUGUAACGCCCCUCGGGGCGUCUUAUAGCCGGGGGUGCCAUGCGGCCAGCCCAGACCGAGGAACGCGCUUCGGCACGGACGCUGGCAUAAUGGUCGUAAAUGACCCGUCUUGAAACACGGACCAAGGAGUCUAACAUCUACGCGAGUGUUCGGGUGGCAAACCCGUGCGCGCAGUGAAAGCGAACGGAGGUGGGAGCCCCCUCGAGGGGCGCACCAUCGACCGAUCCUGAUGUCUUCGGAUGGAUUUGAGUAGGAGCGUAGCUGUGGGGACCCGAAAGAUGGUGAACUAUGCCUGAAUAGGGCGAAGCCAGAGGAAACUCUGGUGGAGGCUCGCAGCGGUUCUGACGUGCAAAUCGAUCGUCAAAUUUGGGUAUA
RNAcentral lists this ribosomal RNA (831 nucleotides) under Aspergillus glabripes. RNAcentral's name for it is "partial large subunit ribosomal RNA". It matches the Rfam family "Eukaryotic large subunit ribosomal RNA", at positions 74 to 919 of the family's 3401-position model. Lineage: Eukaryota; Fungi; Ascomycota; Eurotiomycetes; Eurotiales; Aspergillaceae. The record is from RNAcentral.